Molecule: ribosomal RNA, 440 nt
Filed under: uncultured bacterium
Lineage: Bacteria
Description: partial 16S ribosomal RNA
Rfam family: Bacterial small subunit ribosomal RNA
Source: RNAcentral
CCUACGGGGGGCAGCAGUGGGGGAUAUUGCACAAUGGGGGGAACCCUGAUGCAGCGACGCCGCGUGGGUGAAGAAGCGCCUCGGCGCGUAAAGCCCUGUCAGCAGGGAAGAAAAUGACGGUACCUGAAGAAGAAGCCCCGGCUAACUACGUGCCAGCAGCCGCGGUAAUACGUAGGGGGCAAGCGUUAUCCGGAUUUACUGGGUGUAAAGGGGGCGCAGACGGCGAUGCAAGCCAGGAGUGAAAGCCCGGGGGCCAACCCCGGGACUGCUCUUGGAACUGCGUGGCUGGAGUGCAGGAGGGGAAGGCGGAAUGCCUGGUGUAGCGGUGAAAUGCGUAGAUAUCAGGAGGAACACCGGUGGCGAAGGCGGCCUGCUGGACUGCAACUGACGUUGAGGCCCGAAAGCGUGGGGAGCAAACAGGAUUAGAUACCCUGGUAGUC